RNAcentral lists this ribosomal RNA (651 nucleotides) under uncultured Lachnospiraceae bacterium. RNAcentral's name for it is "bacterial SSU rRNA". It matches the Rfam family "Bacterial small subunit ribosomal RNA", at positions 68 to 731 of the family's 1533-position model. Lineage: Bacteria; Bacillati; Bacillota; Clostridia; Lachnospirales; Lachnospiraceae. The record is from RNAcentral.
CGGAAGUUUUCGGAUGGAAGUUGAAUUGACUGAGUGGCGGACGGGUGAGUAACGCGUGGGUAACCUGCCUUGUACUGGGGGACAACAGUUAGAAAUGACUGCUAAUACCGCAUAAGCGCACAGUAUCGCAUGAUACAGUGUGAAAAACUCCGGUGGUACAAGAUGGACCCGCGUCUGAUUAGCUAGUUGGUAAGGUAACGGCUUACCAAGGCGACGAUCAGUAGCCGACCUGAGAGGGUGACCGGCCACAUUGGGACUGAGACACGGCCCAAACUCCUACGGGAGGCAGCAGUGGGGAAUAUUGCACAAUGGGCGAAAGCCUGAUGCAGCGACGCCGCGUGAGUGAAGAAGUAUUUCGGUAUGUAAAGCUCUAUCAGCAGGGAAGAAAAUGACGGUACCUGACUAAGAAGCCCCGGCUAACUACGUGCCAGCAGCCGCGGUAAUACGUAGGGGGCAAGCGUUAUCCGGAUUUACUGGGUGUAAAGGGAGCGUAGACGGUAAAGCAAGUCUGAAGUGAAAGCCCGCGGCUCAACUGCGGGACUGCUUUGGAAACUGUUUAACUGGAGUGUCGGAGAGGUAAGUGGAAUUCCUAGUGUAGCGGUGAAAUGCGUAGAUAUUAGGAGGAACACCAGUGGCGAAGGCGACUUACUG